RNAcentral lists this ribosomal RNA (585 nucleotides) under uncultured bacterium. Its description in RNAcentral is "partial 16S ribosomal RNA". It matches the Rfam family "Bacterial small subunit ribosomal RNA", at positions 355 to 1375 of the family's 1533-position model. The record is from RNAcentral.
UGGGGAAUUUUGGACAAUGGGCGAAAGCCUGAUCCAGCAAUGCCGCGUGUGUGAAGAAGGCCUUCGGGUUGUAAAGCACUUUUGUCCGGAAAGAAAUCCUUGGCUCUAAUACAGUCGGGGGAUGACGGUACCGGAAGAAUAAGCACCGGCUAACUACGUGCCAGCAGCCGCGGUAAUACGUAGGGUGCAAGCGUUAAUCGGAAUUACUGGGCGUAAAGCGUGCGCAGGCGGUUUGCUAAGACCGAUGUGAAAUCCCCGGGCUCAACCUGGGAACUGCAUUGGUGACUGGCAGGCUAGAGUAUGGCAGAGGGGGGUAGAAUUCCACGUGUAGCAGUGAAAUGCGUAGAGAUGUGGAGGAAUACCGAUGGCGAAGGCAGCCCCCUGGGCCAAUACUGACGCUCAUGCACGAAAGCGUGGGGAGCAAACAGGAUUAGAUACCCUGGUAGUCCACGCCCUAAACGAUGUCAACUAGUUGUUGGGGAUUCAUUUCCUUAGUAACGUAGCUAACGCGCGAAGUUGACCGCCUGGGGAGUACGGUCGCAAGAUUAAAACUUAAAUGAAUUGACGGGGUCAUAGCUGUUUCCU